GAUGAACGCUGGCGGCGUGCUUAACACAUGCAAGUCGAACGAUGAAGCCCAGCUUGCUGGGUGGAUUAGUGGCGAACGGGUGAGUAACACGUGAGUAACCUGCCCUUAACUCUGGGAUAAGCCUGGGAAACUGGGUCUAAUACCGGAUAGGAGCGUCCACCGCAUGGUGGGUGUUGGAAAGAUUUAUCGGUUUUGGAUGGACUCGCGGCCUAUCAACUUGUUGGUGAGGUAAUGGCUCACCAAGGCGACGACGGGUAGCCGGCCUGAGAGGGUGACCGGCCACACUGGGACUGAGACACGGCCCAGACUCCUACGGGAGGCAGCAGUGGGGAAUAUUGCACAAUGGGCGAAAGCCUGAUGCAGCGACGCCGCGUGAGGGAUGACGGCCUUCGGGUUGUAAACCUCUUUCAGUAGGGAAGAAGCGAAAGUGACGGUACCUGCAGAAGAAGCACCGGCUAACUACGUG
This 466-nucleotide ribosomal RNA is filed under the name uncultured bacterium. RNAcentral's name for it is "partial 16S ribosomal RNA". It matches the Rfam family "Bacterial small subunit ribosomal RNA", at positions 28 to 507 of the family's 1533-position model. The record is from RNAcentral.